Molecule: non-coding RNA, 80 nt
Organism: Potamilus streckersoni
Lineage: Eukaryota; Metazoa; Mollusca; Bivalvia; Unionida; Unionidae
Source: the annotation of a GenBank genome assembly
UAACCUCUCCGGCUAGUGGUUAGGGCGUUCGCCUAAGAUGCGGGAGGUCGUGGGUUCGAUCCCCGGUCGAGUUAUACCAA